CCUACGGGAGGCAGCAGUGGGGAAUAUUGGACAAUGGGCGAAAGCCUGAUCCAGCAAUGCCGCGUGAGUGAUGAAGGCCUUCGGGUCGUAAAGCUCUUUUACCAGGGAUGAUAAUGACAGUACCUGGAGAAUAAGCUCCGGCUAACUCCGUGCCAGCAGCCGCGGUAAUACGGAGGGAGCUAGCGCUGUUCGGAAUUACUGGGCGUAAAGAGUACGUAGGCGGUUAUUCAAGUCAGAGGUGAAAGCCCGGGGCUCAACCCCGGAACUGCCUUUGAAACUAGAUAACUAGAGUCUUGGAGAGGUUAGUGGAAUUCCGAGUGUAGAGGUGAAAUUCGUAGAUAUUCGGAAGAACACCAGUGGCGAAGGCGACUAACUGGACAAGUACUGACGCUGAGGUACGAAAGCGUGGGGAGCAAACAGGAUUAGAUACCCUGGUAGUCCACGCCGUAAACGAUGAUAACUAGUUGUUCGGUCACUUGGUGACUGAGUGACGCAGCUAACGCAUUAAGUUAUCCGCCUGGGGGUAGGUACGGUCGCGAGAGUAAACUACGAAGAAGUAGACGCGUGAGAGUUGCGAGACGACGACGAGGAGAGG
Molecule: ribosomal RNA, 595 nt
Filed under: uncultured bacterium
Lineage: Bacteria
Description: bacterial SSU rRNA
Rfam family: Bacterial small subunit ribosomal RNA (bases 1-518)
Source: RNAcentral